This is a long non-coding RNA of Metopolophium dirhodum (rose-grain aphid), 461 nucleotides long. RefSeq lists it as uncharacterized. The record is from RefSeq and is a predicted model, not a curated record. NCBI's taxonomy places the organism in Eukaryota, Metazoa, Arthropoda, Insecta, Hemiptera, Aphididae. The transcript has 3 exons.
UCAUUCAUAUUACGUAUGUAUUAUUAUGUGGUUCUCGAGUUGUUGUUCUGCGGUGAAACGUCCGCGGAAAAGGAAAGAGAAAAGAAAAAUCGAUAUUCGAUGGAACUAUGGACAGUGGCGGUGGAUCGAAAUCAUUACAAUACUACACAUGACUGGACUACUCUUGCGACAUAUUAAUUCAUUCGUCUAUUUGGGGUACCUAAUAUUAGGUGUAACGAUUCGAGGUUGUGCACUUGUGCGUCCGUCCGAACGAGAGAUUUUUGGUUUCCAGCCACACUGGCAGAUCAUAAACGAUAAACCGUAAACGGCGGUACGGCUCUCACGCGAUGAUUCGCGAACCUAUUAUAAUGAUAUGUUUAUCGUUUACAUUGUAUGUUAUCGUGGGACAUGGAUUGGCGACGGAUUCAUCUUUACAACGAAUAACGAUAACGACCAUAAUAAUAGCGAUAUAAUUAUAAUUC